AGUGAACGCAGGCGGUAGGCCUAACACAUGCAAGUCGAACGGCAGCACAGUAAGAGCUUGCUCUUACGGGUGGCGAGUGGCGGACGGGUGAGGAAUACAUCGGAAUCUACUUUUUCGUGGGGGAUAACGUAGGGAAACUUACGCUAAUACCGCAUACGACCUACGGGUGAAAGCAGGGGAUCUUCGGACCUUGCGCGAUUGAAUGAGCCGAUGUCGGAUUAGCUAGUUGGCGGGGUAAAGGCCCACCAAGGCGACGAUCCGUAGCUGGUCUGAGAGGAUGAUCAGCCACACUGGAACUGAGACACGGUCCAGACUCCUACGGGAGGCAGCAGUGGGGAAUAUUGGACAAUGGGCGCAAGCCUGAUCCAGCCAUACCGCGUGGGUGAAGAAGGCCUUCGGGUUGUAAAGCCCUUUUGUUGGGAAAGAAAAGCAGCAGGUUAAUACCCCGCUGUUCUGACGGGACCCAAAGAAUAAGCACCGGCUAACUUCGU
RNAcentral lists this ribosomal RNA (491 nucleotides) under uncultured bacterium. Its description in RNAcentral is "partial 16S ribosomal RNA". It matches the Rfam family "Bacterial small subunit ribosomal RNA", at positions 29 to 506 of the family's 1533-position model. The record is from RNAcentral.